UUGGCCUUUGGCCAUUAAAAAAAAAAAAAAUAUAUAUAUAUAUAUAUAUAUAUAUAAAGAAAAAAAAAGGUAAAGUUGACGUUUGGGAUAAAAAAAAAAGGGAUGGGUUCUAGAAAUCCCUAUUUUCCCUUCCUGCCUUCCCUCCAGCCGAAAGUAAUGAAGGGGGUUUACCCCUUUUAGCUCUUCACUUGUCCAAAAGGAAAUCUAAGGAAGAUGAGUUUAGUUUUCUUUACUAGUGAAGAUUAGAACAAGUGAGGAUCUUUCCUUUGUCUCCAUUUAAGAUAAGGAAGAGAAGGACAAGGGGAUGACACAAGUCGACGAACACCCUGGAAGUUGAAUAUCAAGAAAUUGUGUUGAGGUGUGUAGAGUCGACUAGCUGAUUUUCAAGUGGCAGCUCUAAUGUGGGUUAGUUGACGGGAGUCCAGGAGUACACUUCUUUUGGGUGAGCUGCCAAAGUGUUUGUAUCGUUAGUUUCUGUUUGUAAAUGAUCCUUUUGUGGCGUAGUAGACUAAAAUGAUAUCGACCUCAGUGGGUUGGAGAUUCUACUUACCUGGGCCAUGAAAACCAUGUAUAUAUAACUACUCGUCUUUUGGCUCGUAUAGUUUUGCUCAUGUACAUUUUCCUCAAAUAGCCUGAAAAUGUUUUCUUGUUAGAAGCCCUAAAGGUCUUUUGUGAACUUAUUUUAAUCUGUAAGGUUUUAUGAACGGCUCUUGAAGAAUCACUAUGAGCUUGGUUAUGUUUAAAACUGUGGGUGUGUAUCUAUUACCUAAGUGGUAUGUUGAAAAAAAAUUCAGAUUUUUGUUCCUUGGAAUAUAAAUAGUUUUAUUUGCAAAGUAAUUUGGAACUGCUAAAAUUGUUCUUACAGGAAAACAGC
This is a long non-coding RNA of Malus domestica (apple), 874 nucleotides long. RefSeq lists it as uncharacterized. The record is from RefSeq and is a predicted model, not a curated record. Lineage: Eukaryota; Viridiplantae; Streptophyta; Magnoliopsida; Rosales; Rosaceae.